Rattus norvegicus (Norway rat) is the source of this 6040-nucleotide non-coding RNA. NCBI's taxonomy places the organism in Eukaryota, Metazoa, Chordata, Mammalia, Rodentia, Muridae. The record is from RefSeq and is a predicted model, not a curated record.
UUCGUUUUUUAGGAGCAGAGAAGUGUUUUGUUAAACUUACCUCUUGGAAUGGACUUUUGUUCCUAGGAACUGAGCUGCAAUAAAGAGAAACUGCACUGAAAAUGUCAUCCUUGGCUUCUUUUAUGGUGUCGCCAAAUCACCUUGGAAUCCUAUCUACAAACAGGAGAGGACUGGGAAUGCAGACAGCUACCUUACAUAGCAGAUGGAUGAAGACACACUUUCAAAGUAGAAAAAAGUCUCUUCUGGCUAAUAAAACCCACCUGUAGUAAUAGUAAUGUGCUUUUAACUAUAAACUCAAGAGUAUUGACAAAUGAACCUCUACAACUCAAAGAAACAUCUGCUUUAACACUCAUUCAAAUUUAGCUAUCCGUGUGUUUAUUAUAAAGACUGCGGAAGGAACGGCUGCAACUAGUAGUGGGCAGGAGGAGCAGAAGGAGCAGGGUCUGAUCUCAACUCUGUUCUAUGAAGCAGCCAGGCCUCCUGCUCCCCUUCCUUCUCUUGUUAAAUGACCGGCAAUGGUUUUCAUUCUGUAGUUCUGUGAGUCUGUGAUGGGCACACAGUUCCUACUCUAACUAACGCAGUAUAACAGUAAAAGAGCUACGUAACCCCAGCAAGUAGCUGACCUCACCCUGUUCCACUCUCCUGAUCUAUAAAAUGAGAGUAAGUACACAAUAAAUGUGCCUGCUGUUAUAGUUAUUGUCUAUAACAAAGCGUCAGAGUGUACAAAGACACACCAAGACCACAACAAAGCACCCUGAGUGUCCUUAACCUGUUGUUUUUGUCCUCUACAGUUUUACACUCACUUGUAUUGUGACCUUUAUCAUCCUUGGGCCAUCUUUUAGAAUAUACUGCUCAGAAUGAAGUAUUUUCUAAGACAACUGGUCAUGUGUGCACAGGAGCCUAGGACAUUUCCAGCUAUACAGAUUCUUCAGUAGAAGAAUCUUUUAAAGUUUCUCAUACCAUAUAAUUUUCCUGUAACUUUCAUAAGAGCAGCUGGACAUUUUCUGGUGUUUUAGUUUCCACAUGUGUGAAUUUAAAAAUUGUUUUUGCUGAUUUCCAUAGCCAUGUUUUAACAAUUACUGAAGGAGUCACACUGGUCUAAACAUUAUUUUCAUUUUUUUCAGGUCUGAAAUGCUCAGCCCCACUGCCAAGUCUACGGGCUUCAGACGGACCUGAAGUAAGGGUUGCGAUGGGCAGACUCAAGAGAACCAGGUCCUUGGUUGCCACGGCUAAACCAUGGUGACAGCUUUCUAAGUCACCGCUGGGAGCAGCCAGUGGUUAAAGAGCUUGGACAACUAUUUGCCAAGGAAAUGCUAAUAAUAUUUACACAUUGUUAAUCCAGCCAUCAACUUUGUUAUUUGCUUGUUUGGACCAAGGGAAUUUAGUGCCAUCUGAAAUAUUCACAAGUUUUACUAAGUAAUUUUCUCCUAAUUUAAUUUCCUUAAAUUGGUCUGCUUCUCUUACAUUAUUGAUGGUCACCUGGUUUUUCUUUAUUUAUGAAAAUGUGUUCUUUAGAAUGUACUAACAUUAAACAUGUAAGAUUUAGUAUAUAUUUAAUUCAGAUGACGACUAGUCAGAAUGGUUGAAUCACCAUUUGUGAUAAAGGCUACACGAUGCCACUGAGAAUAUGCUUCUCUUUGCUCCCCUCACAAGUUGUGUUCAACAACACUGAGUCAGCCUGGAUUUAUCACCUUUUGUAUCGGUUGGUCUGGUACAUCCAAGAAUUAAUAGAAUGUAAAUGCUACUUACGGGGUUUGACUUCAUCUCCAUGAGAUUGUCUAAAAUCCGAGUAACAGGUAGAUUCUGUGGAAGACAUUAGUGCGGUUAAAUACUAGAAUAACAACUUGCUCAGUCUAUAAAUGUGAUUACCUUUCAAUCAAACAAAUGCUAAGUUUAUGUGCACAGUUAGCAUGUCAGAGGUAAAUAACCUUAGCACUCAGAGUUCCCCUGAAAAUACAACCGUGUAAAAGCUCCUUCUGACCCCUGAUCUCCACACACUGCAUGCUGUGGCUCUCCCUGCCACACACACAACACAGAAGCAACUUUCAAAGAAAUUCCGGGGCAAGGAAUCACUACAAAGCUGAAGACUUUCUUGUCCCCUUCCUGCUUUACACUCAAGUCCCACUCACCUUUCUGACUGAAUGCACAUUAGAGCUGUACAGUACAGAAAGAAUAUGGAGAAAUAUAUGUAAUAAAUCAGGAAAAAACAAAGCAUUUCACUCUGAGAAUAAAUAGAAAUCGAGGCAUUUAAGCUGCAUUUUAUGAUAAAUCUUUGUGUACCAUAAGAGACAUUCAGGAAGGGUAAAAUUAAAUCUUGUUCUGUAUUUGAUAACCGUGCUACAAAUGAUGACAUGUUUGUCAACAAGUAAUGUUACAACUUGAGGAAUCUGUUGUAAAAUUGUUCAAGGUCUCACAGUUCUUUCUUGUUUUCCAUAGUUUCUACAAUCCAGUAAGAAGGACCAACUACUUCUGCUUCAUCCUUCAAUGUUUACAGAUGGCCAUAGGACUAAGGGAAGCCUCCAGCUGCAGAGAAUGAGGAAGGAAACAUCUUCCAAGAUAGAAGCCACAGUGCUUAUAAAAAUAAUGGAUAUCUGCCACCAACUGACACUCGACUAAGGUGUUAUUUUUGUGUAAAUGAAAGCUUGGGUUAAUAAUUUAAAAAGGAAGUCAGGAAUCUUGGCUUAUCCCUGUAAUCCCAGCACACUGUAGGCUAAAACAGGAGGACUACCAUGAGUUAGUGGCCACCCUGGGCUAGUGUGUGAGUCUUACCUCAAUAACCAAAGGGGGAAAAUUACAUACUAAAUCUCUUCAUAUAAGGUAAGUAAACUCUGUUGUAGUGUCCCCUCUGUUGCUGGGAUAAAUACUCUGACCAAAAACAACCAGGGGAAGAGGGUUUCUUUGGCUUAUACUUCCAAGUCGUAGAAGCUUAGCUAGAGGAGGCAGAACCCAUGGAGGAAUGCUGCUUGCUGGCUUGCUCACAGGUUCACUCUCAGCUGUCACACAGCCCAAAACCACCUGCCCACAGAUGGACAGUUCUACCCACAGUAGGCCUGGCCCUCCCACAUGAGUAAAGAGUCAAGAUAAUUUCUCACCGACAUGGCCACAGAUCCAUCUGACUGACAGUCUCUUAACUGAGACUCCCUGAGGCCCUAGGCUUUGUUAAAUAACAGAGACGCUAAAGCAGGACAAACUUUUACUGAAUGAAGAUUUGAAUAGCUGGCUGUGGUGGUGCACAACUUUAACCCCAGCAUUGAGGAGGCAGAGGCAAACAGAUCUCUGGGAGUUUCAGGCCAGCCUGGUCUACAUAGCGAUUUCCAAGGCAGCCAGGGAGACUUGAUUUCAAAAAGGGAAAAAACUGGAUUGUAGCCAUGUGAACGACAGCAGGUAGAAUGCAUCAGUCUCUAUGCAGAGAACUACUGUCACAGUUUAUAAACGUCAGUGAAGAAAGUCCAAACAAAAUUAGAUGAAAACGUCUAAGCCAAAUUGUCUCGGGGUUGGGGAUUUAGCUCAGUGGUAGAGCGCUUGCCUAGCAAGCGCAAGGUCCUGGGUUCGGUCCCCAGCUCCGAAAAAAAGAAAAAGAAAAAAAAAUUGUCUCUAUACUUAGACACAGGUGUUUAGAAAUAAAAUGGAAACACCAUAUAUUUUGCUUUGUUUUUGAGGCAGGAUUUCGCUACACAGCCCUGGCUGGCCUGGUACUUGCUGUGUGUGGACAUCUCUUGAGAGCCUGGGAAGUACAGAGACCCGCUGUCUCUGCCUCCUAGUCCUAGGAUUAAAGGCCUAGGCUAGGCAAUGCCUGGCAGAAAGCACUACAUAGACUCAAGCUGCAGGGUCCCAUGGACAAUAAAUCAUAAUUUACGAGUCAUCCUUUUUAAAUUCUGUUUCUAAAUAGGGAGAGAUUUUACCAGAAGAACAAAACUAUAUACUGGGAACUAUUUCCUAAGACUGUAUGAUUUUAGCCACUGGAAAGGUUUAAAAAAAAAUAAAAAACCCAAGUUGACCUCUUUACUGAUAUAAUUUUUGGAAAUAAGAUGUGCACAAAAUCAAAACCUAGAUACUAACACCGCACAGCUGCAGCAGAGGUCUCCAGGGUUGCCGACCGCUCUAUGGCGAGCAUCUCUACCUUCUCCUUUGUAGUUCUGGGUGUGGGAAGAUGCUCUGAUGCUGAUAACGGGAGGAGGACUGGAAGCAGGGUUGCUACUGUCCCAGUCAGUGUGUUGGAGUAGAGAUAGAAACUCACAGAGGCGAAGGGAUAAAUAUCAGUGUUUUCCAAUCUUGAAGAUUAUAGGCUAGAAGCAAAUCUACAGACUAAUUCCAGUGCUCAUGUAUGGACGAGGAAGCCAUAAAAUGUUAAGAAGUGACUUUCCUUUCCAAUCACAGUGUUAAGAAUGCUACCAAGAAAACCAACAGAAUGGGAUUAUAUGGGACCACCUCUAUCCCUCCACACCUAACUCCACAAGCUGCAAACUCAUGCAAAUCUUCCGUCCUCCCUAAGUAUUCCAACAAGCCUCUUACAUAGUCAUUAUAGACCACAGAUGAACUUUCAGUAGAUCUCCAAAUAAAUGUAACUGGGCAUUAGAAGGAAGCCUAUCAACACCUUAUUUCUACUCCUGCUCACUUUACUAAAGUAUGCUUGACAUUUAUACUGUUAAUGUACAAUAUACUGCUAUGAUGUCUAUUUAUACUGUGAAAUGAUUAUUAUACAAUAUUCAGAGUUCAAAUUUUCUGUUGCAUAGAAUUUUUAGUUUUCUUACAAAUAAUAAUCCUAAAUAGAGAUCAUACAUGGCAAUCGCAUUUGUCUUCCAGGAUGUUUUAAUUGGCUGUAUUUUAUUUAUUAAUAAUUCAUUUUUAAAGACAAAUUGCUUUGGUAGAUGAGUCAAAGACAGUGGGGAUUUCUAAAUUAUGCAAUUUUGUGCUUGUAUCAUCAUCAUAUUCUUAUAUAAUUAUCCUUAUGCAAGUGGAUUCAAGUCUAUAAAUAUUACUCAACUGGCUAUGUGAAGGUUGAUAUGUAGAAUGCAGAAAACUCAGGCUGCCCAUAAAACAAAAUACAAAAAGCUCUUAGUACCUAGAAAACUGAACAUUGGUUGUUCUAUUCUUUCUUAAUUUACUGGAUAAUUUAACUCUUGUCUGAUUAUUUAUAGCUUAAAAUGUUUAUUCUGAUAAAGACAUCCCAAAGCAAUCUUUAUAGAGCCACAGGCAGGAAAAGGUGACCUGGGAAUCCAAACAAAGGUGCAAAGAGAGAGGCAACUGCACACAUGCCCCAUAAUAUAAACCUAAACAAUUAAACACCCAAGCCACUCUUCAUAGAGGUAAGCAGUAGAAACUACAGUAUUCUAAGUUUGUGGCGGCUCAGUCUCUUUUGAGGACUCUUCCUGAAUGCCCCUAGAUACUGGGAAUCAGGAGAGUGCAGUGUCACAAUGGGCUGCUUAUGAGGGUUUUUCUAGAAUAGAAAAACUUUACACUGGAGAACAAUUUGGCAAUAUUUAUUAGGAGCAACUACAAAUGUCCAUACCUUCUGACUCUUGAGUAAAUUCUUAAUGCUAGGAAUUUACAGUGUGGGUUGGAGUGAUCAGAGAUGAAUACCCAUCCUGAAAAACCUGGCAUUUAAACCUGUGUCCAGACAAGCUCCUUGUUAAGACUACGGUUCUGACAGUGGCAGAAGAGUUAUAUAAAGAGGAGAAAUUCAAUUUCCACCACAGAGAAAUUUGAGUUUUACUUUUUUUUUUUUUUUAAUUUCUCAGACAGCAUUUCUUUAUGUAGCCCUGUCUAUCCGGGAAUUCACCCUUUAGAUCAGGCUGGCCUUGAACUCAAAAGAUCCACCUGACUCUGCCUCCUGAGUACUGAGAUUAAAGGUGUGUGCCACCACUGUUGGGCUCAAUUGUUACUGGUAAAAAGUAAUUACCUAUGCCAAAACAGAUUUCUUAACAGUUUCAAAUGUUAUGAAAAGCAAAGUAAUUUAAGGACAUAAAUGAUAAUUUUUGUAUUUCAUGAACUCUAAAACAAAUUUUUUGUUUUUAUAAUAAAAUACCUAAUAGCAAACCAA